Molecule: long non-coding RNA, 585 nt
Organism: Oxyura jamaicensis (ruddy duck)
Lineage: Eukaryota; Metazoa; Chordata; Aves; Anseriformes; Anatidae
Exons: 3
Source: RefSeq, a predicted model, not a curated record
UCUCCCUGUCCUUAUCUUGGCCUUUGAGCCCUGUUCCAUCAGUGAGAGAGCAGUUGUGGUAGAGUCCAGCUGUCCAUUGGGCUGAAACCAGCGCAUCUGCAAGUGGGCUGCUUGCUCUCUUGUUCACUGGAACAAGUUGGGAUGGUUAGAAUUCAGCCAUCACCACUGAAUAACUGCUGUGCAGAAGGACAGAGCCAAAUUAUGGACUGCAAUCUGAUGCCGUUCCAAUGAUUAGCACCUGAUCCUCAUGUAGUCCUAUUAAAACUUCCUAAUGUAGUAAGCAUGAGCAAGCAUAUCAUUAUCUGUUCCUGGUUGAGCAUGAAACCUUCACGUCUGAUGGCAUCUCUCAUUUAGUGGAAAUGAAUGCUUUGUCCUGUACAUCAAAUGAGGGAGGGAGGGAAAUGGGCGACAAAUGGUCUUCCUGCCUUCAACUGAAGAGAAUGCUUGGAUCAUAGUCUCUUUAUCCUCUGCUAAAGUACUUUGUAGAUAAUAUAGGAGCUAAACUGUAUUACAGGAACAUGGCCAGUUUUCAUCCUGAACUCUCCAUCUGAAUAGAUGUAAAGUACAAUAAAUACUGAUUGCUAA